GAACGCUGGCGGCAUGCCUAACACAUGCAAGUCGAACGAGACCUUCGGGUCUAGUGGCGCACGGGUGCGUAACGCGUGGGAACCUGCCCUUAGGUUCGGGAUAACUCCCCGAAAGGGGUGCUAAUACCGGAUAAUGUCUACAGACCAAAGAUUUAUCGCCUUUGGAUGGGCCCGCGUUGGAUUAGCUAGUUGGUAGGGUAAAAGCCUACCAAGGCGACGAUCCAUAGCUGGUCUGAGAGGAUGAUCAGCCACACUGGGACUGAGACACGGCCCAGACUCCUACGGGAGGCAGCAGUGGGGAAUAUUGGACAAUGGGCGAAAGCCUGAUCCAGCAAUGCCGCGUGAGUGAUGAAGGCCUUAGGGUUGUAAAGCUCUUUUACCCGGGAUGAUAAUGACAGUACCGGGAGAAUAAGCUCCGGCUAACUCCGUG
Molecule: ribosomal RNA, 430 nt
Filed under: uncultured bacterium
Lineage: Bacteria
Description: partial 16S ribosomal RNA
Rfam family: Bacterial small subunit ribosomal RNA
Source: RNAcentral